Molecule: ribosomal RNA, 1052 nt
Filed under: Streptomyces umbrinus
Lineage: Bacteria; Bacillati; Actinomycetota; Actinomycetes; Kitasatosporales; Streptomycetaceae
Description: bacterial SSU rRNA
Rfam family: Bacterial small subunit ribosomal RNA
Source: RNAcentral
ACUGAGACACGGCCCAGACUCCUACGGGAGGCAGCAGUGGGGAAUAUUGCACAAUGGGCGAAAGCCUGAUGCAGCGACGCCGCGUGAGGGAUGACGGCCUUCGGGUUGUAAACCUCUUUCAGCAGGGAAGAAGCGAAAGUGACGGUACCUGCAGAAGAAGCGCCGGCUAACUACGUGCCAGCAGCCGCGGUAAUACGUAGGGCGCAAGCGUUGUCCGGAAUUAUUGGGCGUAAAGAGCUCGUAGGCGGUCUGUCGCGUCGGAUGUGAAAGCCCGGGGCUUAACCCCGGGUCUGCAUUCGAUACGGGCAGACUAGAGUGUGGUAGGGGAGAUCGGAAUUCCUGGUGUAGCGGUGAAAUGCGCAGAUAUCAGGAGGAACACCGGUGGCGAAGGCGGAUCUCUGGGCCAUUACUGACGCUGAGGAGCGAAAGCGUGGGGAGCGAACAGGAUUAGAUACCCUGGUAGUCCACGCCGUAAACGGUGGGAACUAGGUGUUGGCGACAUUCCACGUCGUCGGUGCCGCAGCUAACGCAUUAAGUUCCCCGCCUGGGGAGUACGGCCGCAAGGCUAAAACUCAAAGGAAUUGACGGGGGCCCGCACAAGCAGCGGAGCAUGUGGCUUAAUUCGACGCAACGCGAAGAACCUUACCAAGGCUUGACAUCGCCCGGAAAGCAUCAGAGAUGGUGCCCCCCUUGUGGUCGGGUGACAGGUGGUGCAUGGCUGUCGUCAGCUCGUGUCGUGAGAUGUUGGGUUAAGUCCCGCAACGAGCGCAACCCUUGUUCUGUGUUGCCAGCAUGCCCUUCGGGGUGAUGGGGACUCACAGGAGACUGCCGGGGUCAACUCGGAGGAAGGUGGGGACGACGUCAAGUCAUCAUGCCCCUUAUGUCUUGGGCUGCACACGUGCUACAAUGGCAGGUACAAUGAGCUGCGAUGUCGCAAGGCGGAGCGAAUCUCAAAAAGCCUGUCUCAGUUCGGAUUGGGGUCUGCAACUCGACCCCACGAAGUCGGAGUUGCUAGUAAUCGCAGAUCAGCAUUGCUGCGGUGAAUACGUUCC